Molecule: ribosomal RNA, 305 nt
Filed under: uncultured bacterium
Lineage: Bacteria
Description: bacterial SSU rRNA
Rfam family: Bacterial small subunit ribosomal RNA
Source: RNAcentral
GCCUACGGGGCGCAGCAGUAGGGAAUCUUCCACAAUGGGCGAAAGCCUGAUGGAGCAACGCCGCGUGGGUGAAGAAGGUUUUCGGAUCGUAAAACCCUGUUGUUAGAGAAGAAAGUGCGUGAGAGUAACUGUUCACGUUUCGACGGUAUCUAACCAGAAAGCCACGGCUAACUACGUGCCAGCAGCCGCGGUAAUACGUAGGUGGCAAGCGUUAUCCGGAUUUAUUGGGCGUAAAGAGAACGCAGGCGGUCUUUUAAGUCUGAUGUGAAAGCCUUCGGCUUAACCGGAGUAGUGCAUUGGAAACU